UCAAUUUUGAGUACAUACACUCAAAAUAUAUUUCACGUUAUAGUUACCGGAAAAGUUAUGUGAAUAUUUUCCACCCAAGUUUUCACGUAAAUUUUAUAUGACUUUCACAUGACGGGCUUUCACGUAAAAACUAUCUGUCAGUAACAUGAUGUCUAUACGAAAAUCCAUUGAAUUUUACAGUUUGUCUAGGUCCCCUUUAGAUCAUCGCAACCAUUAAAACUAAAUUGCUCUUACGGAUUGUUGCUAACGGUUGCGGUCAACGUCAUGCCACAGAUUUGGUAGAAAACUAGAAGAAAAUGUUAUGUAAACAUGUGCGUGUAUGAGCACCAACAUAUUAUUUAUUCUGUACCUCUUGCCGUAUUAUUCGGGUAACUUUGUACGAGUAAUAUUAGCUUGUAGUAUGAUCAACCAAUCGGAAAUACAAAGCCUUGAUGUAAGUCAUUGGAAGAAGCAAGAAAAGAGAUCGGUGAUAAUAAAGGGGUAAUCCUAUUUCACUUAAAUCUUGUAAAAUGCACAAAAACGAAAUCGCUCAAGUUACAAGGUAUUUGUAAACGUUUUUAUUGCUUCUGUAUUACAGGCAUCAAACUUAUUUUGUACGUUUAUUGUUC
Long non-coding RNA from Wyeomyia smithii (pitcher-plant mosquito), 608 nucleotides. RefSeq lists it as uncharacterized. The transcript has 3 exons. NCBI's taxonomy places the organism in Eukaryota, Metazoa, Arthropoda, Insecta, Diptera, Culicidae. The record is from RefSeq and is a predicted model, not a curated record.